CCCUUAGAUGUUCUGGGCUGCACGCGCGCUACACUGAUGCACUCAACGAGUUUACGACCUUGCCCGAUAGGGUUGGGUAAUCUUUUUAAAAUGCAUCGUGAUGGGGAUAAAUUAUUGCAAUUAUUAAUCUUCAACGAGGAAUUCCUAGUAAGCGCGAGUCAUCAGCUCGUGCUGAUUACGUCCCUGCCCUUUGUACACACCGCCCGUCGCUCCUACCGAUUGAGUGCUCAGGUGAAUAAUUCGGACUGCAGCAAUGUUUGGAUCCCGAACGUUGCAGCGGAAAGUUUAGUGAACCUUAUCACUUAGAGGAAGGAGAAGUCGUAACA
RNAcentral lists this ribosomal RNA (326 nucleotides) under uncultured eukaryote. RNAcentral describes it as "partial 18S ribosomal RNA". It matches the Rfam family "Eukaryotic small subunit ribosomal RNA", at positions 1470 to 1796 of the family's 1831-position model. The record is from RNAcentral.